This 497-nucleotide ribosomal RNA is filed under the name uncultured bacterium. RNAcentral describes it as "partial 16S ribosomal RNA". It matches the Rfam family "Bacterial small subunit ribosomal RNA", at positions 28 to 507 of the family's 1533-position model. The record is from RNAcentral.
GAUGAACGCUGGCGGCGUGCCUAAUACAUGCAAGUCGAGCGAACAGAUAAGGAGCUUGCUCCUUUGACGUUAGCGGCGGACGGGUGAGUAACACGUGGGUAACCUACCUAUAAGACUGGGAUAACUUCGGGAAACCGGGGCUAAUGCCGGAUAACAUUUAGAACCGCAUGGUUCUAAAGUGAAAGAUGGUUUUGCUGUCACUUAUAGAUGGACCCGCGCUGUAUUAGCUAGUUGGUAAGGUAACGGCUUACCAAGGCAACGAUACGUAGCCGACCUGAGAGGGUGAUCGGCCACACUGGAACUGAGACACGGUCCAGACUCCUACGGGAGGCAGCAGUAGGGAAUCUUCCGCAAUGGGCGAAAGCCUGACGGAGCAACGCCGCGUGAGUGAUGAAGGUCUUCGGAUCGUAAAACUCUGUUAUUAGGGAAGAACAUAUGUGUAAGUAACUGUGCACGUCUUGACGGUACCUAAUCAGAAAGCCACGGCUAACUACGUG